CGGUAACGCGUUUUCCCCCCUCCUCCGCUUUGGACUUGAACUUACAGUGAUUUCUGAAGUGUUUACAAAGACACACCGUAAGCUUUUACAAGGCGUUAACUACAGCAGCCUUUUAUACCUCAACUCUUGAUUCAGCCAAGGUAAGUGCCCCCCCCUUAUAUUUUCUAUGUAUGUGUUCAGCUGAUAUUUAGAAAAAAAUAGGUGUGUUUAGCGCUGGAUGUCAUUUUAUUCCAGAGCUGUUGUUUGUAAUUAAAACUUUUAAGAUUAGAUGGUACAGUGUUUUUACUCCCUUCCAAACAGUAAAGUUCCUCUUUGUUUCUCAGUAGGAAAUUUAAACCAGACAGUACAAGGCUACAUUUCAGUGUUACACAAUCAGUUUGCUAAUUGUUCUGUGAGAUUUGUUUGCAAAGUUUAAGGUGUUAAGUAGGACUGUGAACAUCUGGGUCUGCUUGCUGCUGGCAUUCUGCCAGAGCCCCAGCAACAAGACCGCCUCCCAGCAACGAGAGUGCCUGUCAGCCUUGCAAGGUACCCAAUUUUCCAAUUACUCUAUAACAAAACUGUUGUGGGCAACUAGACUGUCUCCUAAGUUUGCAAGCCAAUCACUUUGCCAAAUGUUCUUGUAAGAUUUGUUUGAAAAGUUUGAGGUGGUAACUGUGAGCUGUGAACAUCUGGGUUUGCUUGCUGCUGGCAUUUGACCAGCGUCUCAGCAACAACACUGCCUCCCAGCUUUGCAAGGUAAUUACUUUCCCAAUUACUGUACACCAAAACGAAGUAACUGUCGUGGUCAACAAAUCUGCCUCCCAACUUUCAAGGUAAUCACUUUCUCAAUUACAAUAUACAAACUGUUAUGGAACUUUACUUAACAAAGCCUUAAGACCGGGUAGUGACACUAUCAAUAUGUCUAUUUAAAGAAAAGAGAGAUUUUUUUUUGUUCUUGUAGUCCUCUUGUCUGUCAAUGUAUCAGAGGGUUAAAAUAACAAAUUGCUUGAAAUGCCAAUAAUUAAUAUUCUGUUUUUAUGUUGACAUUCUACCAGAUGCCGAAAAAAAAUAAAAGAUCCCAGGCACAAAAGAAGCGCUGGAAACCGCUUGACCUGGUCGAUCCUGCAAUGCUCACUGGCCACAACCAAGAUGAGGCAGUCAGUAGUUUUCCAUCUGACCAGCAGACGGCACCAGCCGGGUUAUCUUUGGAAACACAGGAUAGACCCACCUCCUUAUGUUCCCCAGGUACCAAGCAGACAGCACCAGCCAGCUUGUCCUUGGAAACGGAGAAUAGACCCACCUCCUUAUGUCCUCCAGGCAGCAAGAGUUCAGAAACUCGUCCACCAGCAAAACGAGUCUGGGCAACCGAUGAUUUCCACAUGGCAUCAAAUUCUCCACCUAAAAAGCCUUUCCACAACACAAAUGAACAACUACUGACAGAGGAGCUACAGAGCAACGCAGUUCAGCACUUCUGGUGUGUCAGUGCAACUCAUUGUCAAAGUGAUGAAAGGUACACAGAAUUCUCUCGAAAUCAUCAGUGCACAUGUAAUGCCCUCACAUUCCUGGCCUACCUUAAUGAGGAACACCAGUUCAACACAGCCCGACUUGAUAAGGUGCUUGAACAGGGAGAUGCACUCUACUGUUGGAUUAAAACAAAUCUUCAGCAGGAGAGGCGUUAUACACAAGAUCAUCUGACCAUGGAGGACCUGCCCAAAGAAGUUCAUGCUGACAUAAAUGUCUACAGUGUGAAAAUGGACAACAUAAGGUAUGGAUACCUGGAAGCAGCAGACAAAACUUACCAAAGAAAAGAGUGGUGGUUGCCUCUUGCUAGUCGCCUUGUAUGUCUGUCAACAGAUGUGAACUAUGCUUUGCUCAUGGUUUCACCUCAGUGCAUUGCAGUUUUCCGUGACAAAUCUGGGAGGUAUGGAUUAUUUGAUUCACAUUCAAGAAGUGUAGCAGGUUUACCCCAGCCAAAUGGAACAGCAGUCAUGCUCACUUUCACUCAUGUGAAUGACCUGAUCAACCACCUGCAUAACCUUUUUCAAAAUCAAGGCAGGUAUGCAAGAUAUGAGUUUGUGCCUGUUUCUUUCAAAAGAGUCAGCACUCACAACGAACAGCCUGCACAGUCAACUCGGGCAACAGCAGCAACAGCUACAUCAUCACCACAAAAUGAUGAACCACAAAUCACAAAUUCCACUGUGCAAGUGCCUCAACCAGAAUCGGCCCAAACCUACAUGACAAUGUUAGAAAAUACUUCAAACUCAUCACAAGACAAAAUGGCUUCAAAUCAAAUCUGUGAACAUCAACUUGAAACAUCUGUUGACCCAACAAGCAACAUCCAGAAAGAACAACAAGAAAUUGGCCUCAAUAAUGAAAGCGAUAAAGUAAAAGAUAAAACCCACCAAAAAGCAAGAAAUGUGAGCAGAUUAAAUAAAGGACGACGUGGGAAAGCUAUUCGUCAAGCUCAAAAAAGUCAGAGGGAGUAUGUAAAAGCUAAAGACAAAUCUUCAACUGAAGAAGUGGCAAAGAAGACUAACAAAAAAAGACAUGAAAGAGAACGAUAUGCCUGCUGUCGUGAAUUUCGAAUGAAAAGAUUACAGACUAUGAAAAUUCAAUAUGCUGAAAACUGUCAUUACCGUAAACAAAGACUAUUAUCAGCCAAAAAUUAUUAUGCAAAUCCUCAUAUUCAAGAAAAAGUAAAAGCCCACAAGGUGAAGAGAUACCAAAGUGAUCAUCAUUUUCAACGAAAAAUGAGAAACUACAUUAUCAGAAGAUAUACCACAGAUCCUGACUAUCAAACCAGACAGAAGCAAUAUGUGGUCCAGAGGUACAACACGGAUGCCAGCUUUCAAACCAGACAGAAACAAUAUGUGGUCCAGAGGUACAACACGGAUGCCAGCUUUCAAACCAGACAGAAGCAAUAUAUGGUCCAGAGGUACAACACGGAUGCCAGCUUUCAAACCAGACAGAAGCAAUAUAUGGACCAGAAAUACAAAGAGGAUCAUGUCAGAGAAAAGAAGAAGGCAUACAUAAGAACAAAAUAUGCAUCGGAUCCAAACUACAGGCACAAACAAAAAAAAUCAAUUCAUGCCAGGUACCACAAUGACUCACAAUUCAGACUGCACCAUAUACAGCGCUGUGCAGAGUACCAGAGACACAAAAUGGCUACCACUGCAUCUUUCGCCAUUUAUAAAAAGUUGUGUGCGCAGAGAAUAAAGAAGAAAUACAGACGACUAGUAACACAAUUCCAGCAGGGUCCACAGUCUGAAGCACAGCCCCAGCUUGUAGUGAAUAGUGUGAUGCAAGCAGCCACAUUAGCUUUCCG
Molecule: long non-coding RNA, 3304 nt
Organism: Oreochromis aureus
Lineage: Eukaryota; Metazoa; Chordata; Actinopteri; Cichliformes; Cichlidae
Source: Ensembl